CAUAACAAAAGUUCCCUCCCAAGGGAAGAGACUGUGUCAGGUGACAACCCACCUACACCUAUCACUCCCGCCCAGUCCCAGUCCCAUCUUCUCUGUAGUCAUGCUGUGUCGCCCAGGCUGGAGUGCAGUGGUGCAAUCUUGGCUCACUGCAACCUCCACCUCCCGGAUUCAAGCAAUUCUCCUGCCUCAGCCUCACGAGUAGCUGGGAUUACAGGCACCUGCCACCAUGCCCAGGGCCUGUUACAGUGUGCUGGAUGGCAGCAGUUCUAGCGCAGAUGUACUCAUCGCCUGGAAGCACGGAUAAUGAGCUCCACUCCUUUCAUGCUCAGCAGAGCUCAAGCAACACGUAGAGACCUCCGUGCCAAAUGGGAGAAGCCUUUCUCUACAAAUCUGUGCAGACACCUCUACCGCAGAAGCUGAAGAAUGAUUUUUAGAAGAUUAUAAGGCACUCAAGUAUUAAAAACAUUUGUUAGGUAUCAUCUGUGGGCUGAUAGCAUGCAAAGUGCAAGAGAUACAAAGAAAUAAGAUUUAAUCUAAAAGCUUAGGGUCUAAACGCAAAAAAUGUAAAUGUGGAAAAAGAGCUAUAUAAAAGUAGGCUGGAUGUGGUGGCUCACGCCUGUAAUCCCAGCACUUUGGGAGGCCGAGGUGGAUGGAUCACGAGGUCAGGAGUUGGAGACUAGCCUGGCCAACAUAGUGAAACCCCAUCUCUACUAAAAAUACAAAAAAUUAGUCAGGUGUGGUGGCGGGUGCCCGUAAUCUCAGCUACUCGGGAGGCGGAGGCAGGAAAAUCGCUUGAUCCCGGGAGGCGGAGGCUGCAGUAAGCAGAGAUCGUGCCAUAGCACUCCAGCCAAGGCGACAGUGUGAGACUCCGUCUCAAAAAAUAUAUAUAUAUAUACAUAUAUAUAUAUAAUGCGUAUGAUGUGUCCCAACGUAUUCACUGUGGUGUGGUCUUGGAGUUAGAGACUUUGCUGUUCAUCCUGGGGCAAGUUGUCUGGGUGUUUUUGUUGGCUUUUUGUGGUUCUUGGUUUUUGUUUUCGCAUUUUGGGGCUUCAACAAUCUCAUCCUCAUUAUAAAAUUCCUACCUCCAGGGUUAGUGUGAGGAUUUGUAGGCCUCGUGGGACAUGGACAGCGUGGUUGCUCAGUAAACAUUUGCUUCCUUUCUGUGUGGUCAGUGGCUGCUUUGAAAUCCAGCGGAGGCCACGCCCAUGAGGGUUUCAGUGAGAGGUAAGAGAGGAACAGCACUUCCUCUUCUAAUGCAGCUGCAAGCCUCUGAGCACACAUGGGUGGAGUGUCAACAGCACUCUAGCUGUAAUUGAUUGUCAUUAUUGGUCGGAGGAGAUUUCUUGUUCUAACUUUGAGUCAUAGAGGUAUAAAAAUGUCUCGUGUCUAGAGCUUAAAAUAACCCAAGUGAAACAAUAGAUGUUAUUUCAUUAUUAGCAUAGGACAGUGUCCGGCACAUGGUAAGGGUUUAAUAAAUGAUAGUCAUUAUCGUUAUCACUAUCAUCCUUAAUUUUAUACUUGGGAAAGGUGUAAAGCCUAAAAGUUAAAUUAUCCUAAGUCACACAGCUCAUAAAUGGCCUUUGGCUGGCCAUUUGAUUAAUAUUGCUGCUAUAAUUUAUUAGAUUGAAAAUUUGAUUAGGGCUGGAUUGAGGUAAAUUUACUCAAAAUUACUGUUGUAUUUCCAGCAUCUACAGCAGCACAGAAAUAUAACAGAUACUUAUGAAUAUUUGUUGAAUGUGUGUGUGUGUGUGUGUGUGUGUGUGUGUGUGUGUGUGUGUGUGUGUUUAGCAUGGCCUUUUUACCAAGGUAGACCUGGAUUGAAAUCCCAACUCCAGUACCUUCCAGAUAUUAUACAUAAAUUUAGGAAAG
Molecule: long non-coding RNA, 1869 nt
Organism: Homo sapiens (human)
Lineage: Eukaryota; Metazoa; Chordata; Mammalia; Primates; Hominidae
Exons: 3
Source: RefSeq, a predicted model, not a curated record